ACCCCUGCCGGGGAAUGGGGGAACGUUCGGAAACGGACGCUAAUACCGCAUACGUCCUACGGGAGAAAGCACGGGUGACCUUCGGGCCUUGCGCUAUCAGAUGAGCUUAGGUCGGAUUAGCUAGUUGGCGAGGUAAUGGCUCACCAAGGCUACGAUCCGUAACUGGUCUGAGAGGAUGAUCAGUCACACUGGAACUGAGACACGGCCCAGACUCCUACGGGAGGCAGCAGUGGGGAAUAUUGGACAAUGGGCGAAAGCCUGAUCCAGCCAUGCCGCGUGUGUGAAGAAGGCCUUCGGGUUGUAAAGCACUUUCAGCGAGGAAGAACGCCUUGGGAUUAAUACUCCCGAGGAAAGACAUCACUCGCAGAAGAAGCACCGGCUAACUCCGUGCCAGCAGCCGCGGUAAUACGGAGGGUGCAAGCGUUAAUCGGAAUUACUGGGCGUAAAGCGCGCGUAGGUGGCUAAGUCAGCCAGGUGUGAAAGCCCCGGGCUCAACCUGGGAACUGCAUUUCGAACUGGCAAACUAGAGUGUGAUAGAGGGUGGUAGAAUUUCAGGUGUAGCGGUGAAAUGCGUAGAGAUCUGAAGGAAANUNNACCGGAUGGNNCGANGGCAGCCACCUGGGUCANCACUGACGCUCAUGUACGAAAGCGUGGGGAGCAAACGGGAUUAGAUACCCCGGUAGUCCACGCCGUAAACGAUGUCUACUAGAAGCUNCGGAGCCUCGGUUCUGUUUUUCAAAGCUAACGCAUUAAGUAGACCGCCUGGGGAGUACGGCCGCAAGGUUAAAACUNCAAAUGAAUUGACGGGGGCCNCGCACAAGCGGUGGANGCAUGUNGGUUUNAAUUCGAUGCNAACGNCGAAGNAACCUUNACCNUNACACUUNGACAUACAGAGAACNUUACCNAGANGAUGGNUUUGGUGCCNUUNCGGGAACUNCUGAUANNCAGGUGCUGCAUNGGCNUGUCGUNCAGCUUCGGUGUUUGUGAGUAUGUUUGGGAUUAAGUCCCGCAAUCGAAGCGCRCAUCCCCUAUUCUCUUAUGAUUGCUUAGCAAGUGAUWAUGCUGAGAACUCUAAGGAGACUGCCGGUGAUAAACCGGAGGAAGGUGGGGACGACGUCAAGUCAUCAUGGCCCUUACGUGUAGGGCUACACACGUGCUACAAUGGCGCAUACAGAGUGCUGCGAACCUGCGAAGGUAAGCGAAUCACUUAAAGUGCGUCGUAGUCCGGAUUGGAGUCUGCAACUCGACUCCAUGAAGUCGGAAAUCGCUAGUAAUCGCGUAUCAGAAUGACGCGGUGAAUACGUUCCCGGGGCCUUGUACACACCCGCCCGUCACACCAUGGGAGUGGGGUUGCUCCAGAAGUAGAUAGUCUAACCCUCGGGAGGACGUUUACCACGGAGUGAUUCAUGACUGGGGGUGAAGUCGUAACAAGGUAACCA
RNAcentral lists this ribosomal RNA (1439 nucleotides) under uncultured bacterium. RNAcentral's name for it is "partial 16S ribosomal RNA". It matches the Rfam family "Bacterial small subunit ribosomal RNA". The record is from RNAcentral.